Molecule: unclassified non-coding RNA, 237 nt
Filed under: uncultured fungus
Lineage: Eukaryota; Fungi
Description: partial contains 18S rRNA, ITS1, 5.8S rRNA, ITS2 and 28S rRNA
Source: RNAcentral
AGGGAUCAUUACCGAGGACUGGCGGCUCUCUGGGCCGCCGCCUCACCACACUUUGCUUAAACCCCCCCUUCACGGGGUCCCUGCUUCGGCCGACGGCCGGCUGGGAGGGAGGAUGCUCCCACCCGGCCGGCCCAAGGCCUGCGGCGGGGUCCCCGAAACUUAAACCCGAGUAUCCGUGGGUCUGAGCGGUGAGAGCCGAACCAAACACAACCUGCAACGAUGGAUCUCUUGGCUCUG